This 73-nucleotide transfer RNA is filed under the name Melioribacteraceae bacterium. RNAcentral's name for it is "tRNA-Ala". It matches the Rfam family "tRNA". From Rfam's summary of the family: Transfer RNA (tRNA) molecules are approximately 80 nucleotides in length. Their secondary structure includes four short double-helical elements and three loops (D, anti-codon, and T loops). Further hydrogen bonds mediate the characteristic L-shaped molecular structure. tRNAs have two regions of fundamental functional importance: the anti-codon, which is responsible for specific mRNA codon recognition, and the 3' end, to which the tRNAs corresponding amino acid is attached (by aminoacyl-tRNA synthetases). tRNAs cope with the degeneracy of the genetic code in two manners: having more than one tRNA (with a specific anti-codon) for a particular amino acid; and 'wobble' base-pairing, i.e. permitting non-standard base-pairing at the 3rd anti-codon position. The record is from RNAcentral. Lineage: Bacteria; Pseudomonadati; Ignavibacteriota; Ignavibacteria; Ignavibacteriales; Melioribacteraceae.
GGGGUUAUAGCUCAGCUGGGAGAGCGCUUGAAUGGCAUUCAAGAGGUCAGGGGUUCGAUCCCCCUUAACUCCA